UUUUUUUUUUUUUGCUUUUUACGGCCUCACUCGUAGCAUAUGGAAGUUCCCAGCCUAGGGUUUGAAUUCAAGCUACGGCUGCUAGUCUACACCACAGCUAGAGCCAUGCCAGACCUGAGCCACAUCUGUGACCUAGACUACAGCUCAGGGCCAUGCCGGAUCCAGGGUUAGGUAUCUCCGUUUUCAAAAGACUCUGCAAAGUUUUAUUUUCUCUGUGCAGGUGGGGAGACGGAGAGAAACAGCGUGGCGGCAAAAUGUUACCAGCACUGAGUCCAGACAUUCACUGGACUCGCCUUCUCUACUGACCUGAGCUGUUUUCAAAAGAGAACAUUAUAGGGAAAAAAACCUUCCAUAUUGGAAGCACCUUAACUAUCCCCUCUGGGGGGAACCAGGGGCCAGGCCUGACCCCGCAGCUGCCACCUCCCCCCCACCCCACCCCCUGCCACAUAAGGAGGGCUUUGCGGACACAUCCUGGCAGCCCUGGAGGCGGGGGGGGGGCCCACGUGGUGUGGGGUGCGGGGAGCAGCCAGGGACCCUGAGAACCAGUGCAGAUGAGGGCCAGGCAGGCAGCUGCUGGGGGGGGUCCUGGCAGGGCUCCCCCCGGGGCCUGGUCAGCUGGUUCCUUUGCUGCCAGGAGAACAGACAGAACAGUUGGCAUCUUAGCGGCACCCGGACCCAGACACGCCUGCCCAGUCAACUCAAUUAUCUGCACCAGUGAGCUGGGGAAAGAGGCACCAGUGACCCGCUUCACAGACACUUCCUGGGGUCCGACACUCUGCCCCGCAUCUACCAGACAUGGGGGACACGACAGAGCUCGAGGCAACACACAGUGACAAAGCCAAAGACGCCCUCAGACUGUCCCUGGUAAGAAGCCUCCAGCUCCCAGUCCCUGCCCCAUGGCCAGCUCCACGGGACACCUGCCUGCAUGACUGAGAGCUGCCUCCACUGGGACGCACACAGACCACAGCUUGUCCUGAGGGUGACAGUGAGGGGGGCCGGGGGAUCGGACCCGGAUGUCCCGGGUACCAGGCAGGCUUCACGGGCUCACAUGAUCCAGUCACCCUCCCACUGGAUUCCCCAACUGGCCAGACCACAGCCAUUGCUGGGACAGGAGGGCGAGGGGGACGAGUGGAGGAUGGGCAAGCUGAGGAGCCACUGUCGUAGGAGCAAGACUCUAGGGACAGGCCGAGUCUCUAGGGUUAGUGGGCUGCCAGGAACCCGGGGGAGAAGAGGGUUUCAAUCAUGCACGUGCUCAUUCUGCACUCGGGAUUUUACCGGCAAAGUCAAGCUCUGAACCUUGACUCCAAGCCUGGCCCAUUUCAUGGUCCAAAUUCUUACUACGACAUCAUCCGCCUUCAGAUGCUUGAUCACAGCCAGCGAGGAGGAGCUGAAGGAACCAGGGCUGCUUCCAGACGCUGAAAGGCUGUCACCGUGCGGGUCACUAUACUCACUCUGCACCGUUUACUGCUGACCCCCCCAAACUAUAUUCAGGGGUGCACGUGCCAACGGCCAGUCGCCCUUCAGUAUCUUCACCACGACAGGUUAACACAGGAGGAAGCCUGGCAGGGCGUCCCCAGCAACAGAGGGGUCCCAGCCAGAGGGCGCUGGAGGGGACAUUUUAGAGGACCUGCAGUAUCCGAAAAACAAACACAGGCUCCAUGAACCCUACGGUUCUUUCCAAGUUUGAAAGUUUAAUUCUAUAGAAGUUGGCAUUCAUUCUAUUUACUAAUAGUUUUUGUUUUGUUUUGCUUUUGGUGGCCUCGGCAUAUGGAGGUUCCCAGACUAGGGGUCCAAUUGGAGCUAUGGCUGCAACCUACACCACAGCUCAUGGCAAUGCCGGAUCCUUAACCCACUGAGCGAGGCCAGGGAUCGAACCAACAACCUCAUGGUUCCUAGUCAGAGUUGUUGUCACUGCGCCACGAUGGGCACGCCCACAAAUGGAUUUUCAAAUCAGAGGAGGGAUGUAAAGUGGGUCAGUUUUACUGUCCAGAUGGGGAGGGAACUGCACCACUGAAAGUGCCGACCUGCCAGGGGUUCCCAGGAGGAAAUCAGCUCAACCACAGAGUGUUCGUAGCCUCACUGAGUCACCGAGGGAGCCGCUGUCCAAACCAGGCAGAGCUGACGGGCUGGACCCAGGGACCAGCACCUUCCCAGAGCUUCCCAGGGGAGUCCGUUAAGAUGGAGCCCCCGAGACAGAGAAAUAGCUCACGUUCGGUGCCCUCCAAGCCCCGUGCGGACCUGCAGUCAGUUCAUGUCUACAGCUGGGUAAGCUCAUGUCUACACCUGGGCUGGUCGAACGUCUCCACCAUGGUGGCAGUGGUGGGGAGAGUGUUUGUAAGUCACGAAAUCAGAAAAUAGGGAGUUCCUGGUGUGACUCAGCAGUGAACAAACUGACUAGGAUCCAUGAGAGUGUGGGUUUGAUUCCUGGCCUCACUCAGUGGGUGGGGGAUCCGGUGUUGCCCUGGGCUGUGGUGUCGGUCGCAGACACGGCUCGGAUCCC
This 2500-nucleotide long non-coding RNA is filed under the name Sus scrofa (pig). RNAcentral's name for it is "lncRNA (ENSSSCG00015073431.1)". The record is from RNAcentral. Lineage: Eukaryota; Metazoa; Chordata; Mammalia; Artiodactyla; Suidae.